GCCAGAGCUGGGCCCUGGGCCCUUCGGGGGCCCUGAGGUGAAGAGAAGCAGCAACGGCCAACUGGGAGAUGGCUACCGAGGCCACUGCCCUCUUGGAAAAUGCUGAGCACUGGAGCCUGUCCCCUGCCUGUCCUGGGGGCCUCUGAGUCACAGCCUGCCCCACGGGACAAGGAAGGUGCAAGCCUCGGGCUUGUUUUGCUGCUGCCUAGCCUGGGGUCUCCUCUGGGCUAGACGCAUGAAUAAAGGCAAUAUGCUCCCGUUUGCUUCUGUGUUCCGUGCAGGGGGCUGCUGAUGGGUGGGGGUGGCAUGGGCCUGCAGACACCACCCAGCACCUCACUUAUCACUCA
Molecule: long non-coding RNA, 347 nt
Organism: Carlito syrichta (Philippine tarsier)
Lineage: Eukaryota; Metazoa; Chordata; Mammalia; Primates; Tarsiidae
Exons: 3
Source: RefSeq, a predicted model, not a curated record